UUUUGAGGAAAAUUGACAGGACUCGUUUUAUUGGAGAAUUCCAGAACAUCAGAGGGACAGAGACUCCUGCACACAUCAGAGAACCUCUUAUCUAAAAAAAACUGUGCGUUUAGAAAACCAGCAAGAUGGAAAGCUGUUGCACACACGGCUGCUGUAGUCGCCUAGGAGACAUGCAUGUCACUGUUACAGGUUCGCCUAGGAGACAUGCAUGUCACUGUUACAGGGUCGCCUAGGAGACAUGCAUGUCACUGUUACAGGGUCGCCUAGGAGACAUGCAUGUCACUGUGCCCGGAAUUUCUCUCUUCCUCUUCCUUAUUGGACAACACACUUUCAACACGCUUAGAACAUGUUUCAUGUAAAAACAGGAACAUUUAGACAAAGCAAAAGGAACUCACUGCACAUAACAGACGGGAUCAAAACAGUUAAUUAUCCAGGAAUAAGGUAGAACCCUAGGAGAACCAACUGUGGAGGAGGGGGGCACAGGAACACACAACUCACUAUGGGACGGGACGCGCUUUCCUUCCUACACAAUCAUGAAAUGCUGUUUAAUUAAAAAAGAUUUUAGUGUGUUCAUCUUGCCUGCAGACACUUUGUUGAUAUGACCACUGCAGAUCUGCAUUAUAUUACUCAGCUUUGCUUUGUGCUAAAAAUCUGUACGGAUAGUAGAUAGUAUACUUAUAAAAUCACUGAUAAAAAUAUUCCUCUGUUAACAAUACGCCUUGGAGGGGGACCAUGAACACUGGGGCAGGCUGGGAGGGGGGGGGUCGGAGGUCAGGGGUCGGCAGUGUUGCUACUCAGACUUGGCUUCCUCCUUCUCCGCCUCAGGAGCAUCCUCCAUCUGCAGGGUCAGAGGUUAGAGGUCAGUAGAACAACCUGACAUUCCUGUUGGUAGUUUCUCAUCCUAAAACAGGAGCUUAUCUCUGCCAUCAAGCUGACCAAUGUCUUCUAAUGUCCCUUUAUGACCAGCACCAGGUCCUCUACAGUCCAUGAUGUCUUUAUGACCAGCAUCAGGUCCUCGACAGCCCAUGAUGUCUUUAUGACCAGCAUCAGGUCCUCUACAGCCCAUGAUGUCUUUAUGACCAGCCUCAUGUCCUCUACAGUCCAUGAUGUCUUUAUGACCAGCCUCAGGUCCUCAACAGUCCAUGAUGUCUUUAUGACCAGCAUCAGGUCCUCAACAGUCCAUGAUGUCUUUAUGACCAGCAUCAGGUCCUCAACAGUCCAUGAUGUCUUUCUAGUUCCUCCUAGGACUCGAUCUCUAGAUCCAUCUAUACUCCUUUAUGUCUGCAAUGACUGUCUUAUUUGUCCUAUACCUGUUAAUGACCAUUGAAUGUCUGCCUAUGACCUGUCUUAUGUAUAGUAAUGUACAGUAUAGUAGUAUUUUUAUUUAACCAAGCAAGUCAGUUAUGAAGUGGUUAUUAUUUAUAAUGACGGCCUACCCCGGCCAAACCCUAACAACGCCGGGCCAAUUGUGCACCGCCCUACGGGAUUCCCAAUCACAGCCGGCUGUGAUACAGCCUGGAAUCGAACCAGGGCCUGUAGUGACGCCUCUAGCACUGAGAUGCAGUGCCUUAGACCGCUGCGCCACUCGGGAGCCCAUAGUAUAGUAGUGUACAGUAUAGUGGUGAAUAGUAGUGCACAGUACAGUAGUGCACAGUACAGUAGUGCACUAUAGAGUAGUCUACAGUAUAGUAGUGCACUGUAGAGUAGUAUAUAGUAUAGUAGUGCACUGUAGAGUAGUAUAUAGGAUAGUAGUGCACUGUAGAGAAGUAUAUAGGAUAGUAGUGCACUGUAGAGUAGUAUAUAGUAUAGUAGUGCACUGUAGAGUAGUAUAUAGUAUAGUAGUGCACUGUAGAGUAGUAUAUAGUAUAGCAGUGCACUGUAGAGUAGUAUAUAGUAUAGUAGUGCACAGUACAGUAGUACACUGUAGAGUAGUAUAUAGGAUAGUAGUAUAUAGGAUAGUAGUGCACUGUAGAGUAGUAUAUAGUAUAGUAGUCUACAGUAUAGUAGUAUAGUAGUCUAUAGUACUGUAGUCUACAGUAUAGUAGUCUAUAGUACUGUAGUCUACAGUAUAGUAGUCUAUAGUACUGUAGUCUACAGUAUAGUAGUCUAUAGUUUAGUAGUCUACAGUAGAGUAGUAUAUAGUAUAGUAGUCUACAGUAUAGUUUAUAGUAGUAUAUACUGUAGUAGUGUAUAGUCGUGUACAGUAUAGUGGUGAAUAGUAGUGCACAGUACAGUAGUAUACAGUACAGUAGUUUAUAGUAGUAUAUACUGUAGUAGUGUAGUCGUGUACAGUAUAGUGGUGAAUAGUGCACAGUACAGUAUAGUAGUGCACAGCACAGUAGUUCACUGUAGAGUAGUAUAUAGUAUAGUAGUGCACUGUAGAGUAGUAUAUAGUAUAGUAGUGCACUGUAGAGUAGUAUAUAGUAUAGUAGUAUAUAGGAUAGUAGUGCACUGUAGAGUAGUAUAUAGUAGUGCACUGUAGAGUAGUAUAUAGUAUAGUAGUAUAUAGGAUAGUAGUGCACUGUAGAGUAGUAUAUAGUAUAGUAGUGCACUGUAGAGUAGUAUAUAGUAUAGUAGUGCACUGUAGAGUAGUAUAUAGUAUAGUAGUAUAUAGGAUAGUAGUGCACUGUAGAGUAGUCUACAGUAUAGUAGUGCACUGUAGAGUAGUAUAUCGUAUAGUAGUGCACUGUAGAGUAGUAUAUAGUAUAGUAGUGCACUGUAGAGUAGUAUAUAGUAUAGUAGUAUAUAGGAUAGUAGUGCACUGUAGAGUAGUCUACAGUAUAGUAGUGCACUGUAGAGUAGUAUAUAGUAUAGUAGUGCACUGUAGAGUAGUAUAUAGUAUAGUAGUGCACUGUAGAGUAGUAUAUAGUAUAGUAGUAUAUAGGAUAGUAGUGCACUGUAGAGUAGUCUACAGUACUGUAGUCUACAGUAGAGUAGUUUACAGUACUGUAGUCUACAGUAGAGUAGUCUACAGUACUGUAGUCUACAGUAGAGUAGUCUAUAGUACUGUAGUCUACAGUAGAGUAGUCUAUAGUACUGUAGUCUACAGUAUAGUAGUCUACAGUAUAGUAGUCUAUAGUAUAGUAGUCUACAGUAUAGUAGUCUAUAGUACUGUAGUCUACAGUAGAGCAGUAUAUAGUAUAGUAGUCUACAGUAGAGUAGUAUAUAGUAUAGCAGUCUACAGUAUAGUAGUAAAAAUGUCCAGUAUAGUAAUGUAUAUUACCUGGUUGGUCUUGGCAUCUCCGUUCUCAGAGUGGUUCUCCUCAGCAGCUUCAGCCUCUGCGUUCUCCUUCGCUGCUGCCUUCUUAGUUUUCUUCUCCUCCUUCUUGUCAUUCACAGCCUUCUCUUUCUGGGUGGGGGGGGGGUGACAGACAUUAUCUACAGAGCCUUCGGAAAGUAUUCAGACCCCUUGACCUUUUCCACAUUUUAGGUUACAGCCUUAUUCUAAAAUGGAUUAAAUCAGUUUUUUUUGAGUGGCCCCCAUAUUUUUGAGUGACCCCCAUAUUGACAAAGCAACACUGUUGCUCUAUCGCCCCUGUCUGUAACUAACUCCGUAACCUGCACUUUAUCUCCUUGCCUCUUACCUCAUCUGGUGAAUGUACUUAAUUACCUUAUCAGCUCUGGCUGGGCCACUCAAGGACAUCCAUAGACUUGUCCCUUAGCCACUCCUGCGUUGUCUUGGCUGUGUGCUUAGGGUCAUUGUCCUAUUGGAAGGUGAACCUUCGCCCCAGUCUGAUGUCCUGAGCGCUCUGGAGCAGAUUUUCAUCAAGGAUCUCUCCGUACUUUGCGCCAUUCAUCUUUCCCUCGAUCCUGACUAGUCUCCCAGUCCCUGCCGUUGAAAAACAACCCCACAACAUGAUGCUUCCACCAACAUGCUUCACUGUAAGGAUGGUGCCAUGGUUUCUUCCAGAUGUGGCAUUCAGGCCAAAGACUUCAAUCUUGGUUUCAUCAGACCAGAGGAUCUUGUUUUUUCAUGGUCAGAGUCUUUAGGUGCCUUUUACUGAGGAAUGGCUUCUGUCUGGUCACUCUACCAUAAAAGGCCUGCUUGGUGGAGUGCUGCAGAGAUGGUUGUCCUUCUGGAAGGUUCUCCCAUCUCCAAAGAGGAACUCUGGAGCUCUGUCAGAGUGACCAUCGGGUUCUUGGUCACUUCCCUGACCAAGACCCUUCUCCCCCUAUUGCUCAGUUUGGCCGGGCGGCCAGCUCUAAAACAUUUGCAAAAAAAUCUAAAAACCUCUUUUUACUUUAUCAUUAUGGGGUAUUGUGUGUAGAUUGAUGAGGAUGUAUGUAUUUUUGUGCCCAUUUUAGAAUAAGGCUGUAACUUAACAACACUCUGAACACUCUCUCCAAAGGCACUGUAUACUAUGUUCAUAUGUAUGCCUUCUCUUUCUAGAGAGGGGGGUUUGUAGUUAGGUUUUUUGUGAUGAUUCUGGGGUUUGUAGUUCUGUAAUGCGAUGUUCUAGUCUUUUGUUCUGUUUGAUGGUUCUUGAGUUUGAAGUGAUGUUGUGUGCAGCCCUGGGGUUUGUAGUUCUGUUCUCGUACCUUUGCUGGUUUCUCCUUCUUGGCCUUGGGUUCAGUCUUGGCUGGGGCUGGUUUCUGGAGAGAGAGAACAAACAUCAGUCUCAUGUGUUCUACAACCACUGAUCAUUCCUAGUUCUACUGACCAAUAGAUGCUAGGGCUUCAGAUCUACUGACCAAUAGAUGCUAGGGCUUCAGAUCUACUGACCA
This is a long non-coding RNA of Oncorhynchus tshawytscha (Chinook salmon), 4725 nucleotides long. Lineage: Eukaryota; Metazoa; Chordata; Actinopteri; Salmoniformes; Salmonidae. The record is from Ensembl.